AUCUCCCACUGGAUAACCAGGUAAGGCCCGUGGCAGACCACCACGUUGAUAGGCCGGAUGUGUAAGCACGGCGACGUGUUCAGCAGACCGGUACUAAUCGGCCGAGGGCUUGGGCUC
RNAcentral lists this ribosomal RNA (117 nucleotides) under Acidimicrobiales bacterium. RNAcentral's name for it is "partial 23S ribosomal RNA". It matches the Rfam family "Bacterial large subunit ribosomal RNA", at positions 2809 to 2925 of the family's 2925-position model. The record is from RNAcentral. Lineage: Bacteria; Bacillati; Actinomycetota; Acidimicrobiia; Acidimicrobiales.